This 3812-nucleotide long non-coding RNA is filed under the name Zea mays. RNAcentral describes it as "long non-coding RNA (ZMAY_LNC000485)". Lineage: Eukaryota; Viridiplantae; Streptophyta; Magnoliopsida; Poales; Poaceae. The record is from RNAcentral.
UGGCCUGAGCCGAAACUGUGUGCCGAGGGGGGAAAAGGAGGGAGCAGAGGGUGCCGCCAACGUCAUUCUUGGUCUCGGUUGGUGUAGGAUCUUCCACGGAGGGUUUGGGGGCUCCGCUGUGCUUCCUGGUGGACGCCUGUGGCCGAAGAAGGAGAGGUCGACCACUGGAUGGCCGGAAUUUCAUCACUGCACCGUUGAAUUCGCCGCGGCGAGCGGGCAGACCGAGGUGCUUCCAGGUUCGUGGUAGCCUCUUUUCCCUUUCAUCGUGCGGCUGUUCACUACGUAUUAUCGCAUCCUGUUCGAAGUUCGAGUGUCUGUGGCGAAUUUUGGCCAAUGUCGGCCAUGGCGUCGCCGCAGGCACUCGGGCACUGCCGUGCGCUUGACAUUAGGGGGUGGCGCGUGCGCCAGAGCGCUGUGGCCCGUUGAUCUUCUGCGCAACGACCAAGAUUAGACAAUCGGGUACCUGUUCGCACGAUUGAAUCAUGAGCGUAGAUCUAGGAUCCCUCGGUUCGGAUUAGAUUUGGCUGCAUAAGAUCGUGACCGUAGAUCUCCCACCGAACGGUCCCGAUUAGAUCGUGAUGCUGGUUCGGGGAGAUAGAUCUGGGUCGUUGAUCUAAUCUCGGACGGGUGAGGAUUUGUUGAGGGAUUUUAAAUCCCGGUCGUCGAUUCUCAAUCGGACGGUUAUCUGCGGCGCUCUGAGUUUUAUCUGCGCCGAUCUAAUCUGGGCGCUCGAUCAUGGAUCCAGCGGCCAGUAAACCCUGAUACCCUUUCGCUGAUCAUAUGUUGCAGAAAGGCCCUUAUGCUUUUAGAAAAAUGGAACCCGCCGUCCAGUAGGGAGGCAGUCUGUGCCUUAGGAAAGUUACACCGAGAGCCCUUCUGUUUUCUGUACUUGGCGCCCAGUCCAUAGCUUUGAGAAUUCAGUUAUUUAAUUCUAGAAAUUGAUUUUUAAUACAAAAAUAAACCCUAGAACUUGUAUAAAUCAUAGAAAAUUCAUAUGAACUCCAAAUUAACUCAUUCCUGUUUCUAAAAUUUUGUAAUAUUAUUGUUUAUCACUUAGAGUAUCUGUUUUGACAUGAAAACAGUAAAAAAAUUAAUUACUCACUUAAUCAUAUAUUAAGCACAUAAAACCUUCAGAAAUUCAUAUCUUAAAAUCUAUAACUCCAAAAUUAAUGAUUCAUGUUCGUAGGUUCUUAUUUUAAUGUGUAGAUUAUUAUUAUGUAUUUUGUUUACAUGUUUGGUGUGAUGUUAAUUUCUCUUUAUAUUGUGCUUGUCUGUAUUGUGGCGAGUAGAAGAGCAUGUGACUAAGGAUCGUAGUGCCCAGCAGAUAGAAGUUGCUGAGCAGGAGCUCAUUGAAGGCAAGUUGUGCCCUUGAUCACUUAUUUUUUCCCAGCCAUGUUCUUAUUAAUCAUAAUGAUCUGCAUAGGUUAAUUUUGAUGGGAUCGUUUAGGUUACCCUAGUUUUGGUUAUCUUUAUACCUUGUUUACCACUCAAUAUUUUUGGGUAGUACUUGCUAUUGCUUUAUGUGGUUUUGGGUAUGGAGAUACAUUAUUCAUGAACACUUUUAUUAUCUGUUUAUUAUUACUGUUCAUGUUAAGAUCAUUAUGUUAAUGGGAACAUGGAGCGACCACCCGGGAAAACAGUGCUACCACAAGGGUAGUAUGGGAUGCCCUUGGCUGAUUAACUAGGAAAGCUAGCGGAUGACUACCUUACCCGAUAGGGGCAAGGGCAUUAGGGGAGUGGUCAGUGUAGGGAGGUCCUUGGGUUGAUUUUGCUCCGAUGGCGGUCAGGCGCCUGGAGCUUCCUAUAAACUGUAGCGGGUUUUCUGAAGCUAGUGGAACUUUGUAAAGGCCUAGUAGUGUUACCCUGCCUCGCCUCCUCGGUAGAGGUGUAUGGGAUUGACCGUCUCUUGGCAGAUGGGUAACAUGACUUGUGGGUUAAGAUGUGCAACCUCUUCAGAGUGUAAAACUGGUAUACUAGCCGUGCUCACGGUUAUGAGCAGCUCGGACCCUCACAUGAUUAAUCUAUGGAAUUAAAACUCAAUUUGUCAUUUGCAUCGCAUUGGGAUUAUUUUAUUAUUACUUUUACUUAUUAAUACUAAGGUUUGGUAUUUACUUAUACUUAGUAAUUGCUAAUAAAAUUUUGACCAACUUAUAAAAGCAAUGCUCAGCUUCAACCUUUAUUUUGUUGAUCAGCCUUACACUUCACAUGAACUCCCACCUUUGGAGAGUUCAUGCACAUUAUUCACCACAACUUGUUGAGCUAUGAACGUAUGUGAGCUCACUCUUGCUGUCUCACACCCCCCCCCACAGGAGAAGAAUAGGUGGUCGAAGAGGAGUCGCCUAACACUAAGGCUUUCGACUUGAUCUAGGUGGUGUCUCCUAGUCAGCUUUGUGGCGCCAGGGAAUAAUAUUUAGUUCGCUUUAUUUUAUCAUUUAUUUUUGUAAGACUUCCGCUAUGUAAUAAUUACAUUGAUAAUAUUUAUGACAUUUAUCUCUAUGCACUCUGUUAUUAUAUGUGUUGUCUUCUCUGGCGCAUAUAUGAGAUGCACCCAGCUUUGUUCCUUAAAUCCGGGUGUGACAGUAGAUUUCAAUCUUCUUUAAAACUUCAUUGGUCAUCUCGUAUAGAGGGAACCGAAGACCUACUCUGAAGAAGCUUUUAAAAACUACGACUUCGUCAUUUCUUGGUUCUGGAAUCACUUCUUCCCCAGCAAACCAAACCAGUUCGUCAUCAUUCUCUCCAAAAUAUCCUAAUUUCUUCAUUAAAACCAAAUCUUCCGCUUUAACCAUGGAUUUUCCAAACUCAAUAUGGCUAGGUUUGCUCGAACUUAAAAUUCCAUCAUCUUCUUCGUCAUCACUGUCAGCUUCGGUAAUAGUUGGUUCAGCUUCGGCAACAACAACAUCUUCUGUCGGAAUUGACUCUUCUUCUCGUACAACUAACCCAGAAUGUUUCAUUAUUUCUAAGAUAUGGGCCAUCUCAGUAGCUCCAACUUCUUCUCCUUCGUGUGCUACUCUGGCAGUAGACCUCACUCUAGCCAUUUCAGUUUUUAUGAGACGAAGCUACACUCAACUAAUUGAACGUUUGUCUGAAGCUUACACAGCAAGUGCAUGGAAAGCAGGAAGCUUCGGCUUUAGUAAAAAUUUUCAGCAGCACAACAGCGUAGGGGCAAUGAAUGUUGUGGUAACUUCUCACCAACUCAUCUGUUUAUAUAGCUCGCAGGUGAAGAAGGUGAUCCGCAGAGACGCGCGUACUGGCUGAUCGGUGGACCGGUAAGUGCCAUAAAUUUUAUAUUCGUUUUUAAUAAUAAGCUCAGGGAAUGUUUUUCGGAUCUUCGGCAUCUAGAAGCCUUCGUGUUUUUCGUGGAUCGAGCUCGUUAUGAAAAAACGACCUAGCACCACGAAGGGGCUACUGUUGGGGGUCUUCUUCUCUGCUGAAGGUUCUCAAGGCGAAGAUACUGUUUGUAGGUGACAAGAAUGAAUGCUGAAGCUACAACGAACAUGUGUGGAAAAGCCGAAGGUGAACAGCUUCGGCUUAAGGUGGUGACGAAGGUCAAGCAUAAUGUUGAGUCGAAGAGGAAAAGACUAGUUAAUCCCUGAUGUUUUCUAUUAGGAUUAUAAGUAUAUGUUGAGGUCAUAAAUGUAUUUUUACUUGGACUGCGUCUCAUGCCUAUAAAUAGGUGAACAUUACCCCCAUACUGUUCACGCUGGAUUGUAAUUGCUCUCGUGCCAUCACCUUCAAACAAGCUGAAGGUAUCAAUAUAAUAUAAAUAAUGAUAAUGUUUAUACGAUUAUUAUGGAAUAAAUAUGUGAAUGUAU